Molecule: ribosomal RNA, 253 nt
Filed under: uncultured bacterium
Lineage: Bacteria
Description: partial 16S ribosomal RNA
Rfam family: Bacterial small subunit ribosomal RNA
Source: RNAcentral
UACGUAGGGUGCAAGCGUUAAUCGGAAUUACUGGGCGUAAAGCGUGCGCAGGCGGUUAUGUAAGACAGAUGUGAAAUGCCCGGGCUUAACCUGGGAACUGCAUUUGUGACUGCAUGGCUAGAGUUUGGCAGAGGGGGGUAGAAUUCCACGUGUAGCAGUGAAAUGCGUAGAUAUGUGGAGGAACACCGAUGGCGAAGGCGGGUCUCUGGGCCGAUACUGACGCUGAGGAGCGAAAGCGUGGGGAGCGAGCAGG